CUGAGGAAGCGUUUUACCUACGUGGACAAAAAGCGCUCCCUUAAGGGCGCGCUUUAUGUCCAAGUAGGCAAAGCGCUCCCUCAAGG
Molecule: microRNA precursor, 86 nt
Organism: Gossypium raimondii (Peruvian cotton)
Lineage: Eukaryota; Viridiplantae; Streptophyta; Magnoliopsida; Malvales; Malvaceae
Rfam family: MIR7486 microRNA precursor family
Source: Rfam